GAAUCUCCGCGUUAAGGAUGGAAAUGGCAUCCUUUUUAAUUGUCUCUUUGAGCAUUAUCGAGCUCAAAAUAUAUUUUGUAAGAAGAUAGCUUGCUGAGCAAAACGAAAAGUUUUUAAUUAAAAAGAUAUAAUGAACAGCCUGACCUUGA
This 149-nucleotide small RNA is filed under the name Ichthyenterobacterium magnum. RNAcentral's name for it is "Flavo-1 RNA". It matches the Rfam family "Flavo-1 RNA". The record is from Rfam by way of RNAcentral. Lineage: Bacteria; Pseudomonadati; Bacteroidota; Flavobacteriia; Flavobacteriales; Flavobacteriaceae.